UACGAAGGUGGCAAGCGUUGUUCGGAUUUACUGGGCGUACAGGGUGCGUAGGCGGUUCGGUAAGCCCUCCGUGAAAGCUCUAGGCUUAACCUAGAAAGUGCGGAGGGGACUGCCGGGCUAGAGGACGGGAGAGGAGCGCGGAAUUCCCGGUGUAGCGGUGAAAUGCGUAGAGAUCGGGAGGAAGGCCGGUGGCGAAGGCGGCGCUCUGGAACGUUUCUGACGCUGAGGCACGAAAGCGUGGGGAGCAAACAGG
RNAcentral lists this ribosomal RNA (253 nucleotides) under uncultured bacterium. RNAcentral describes it as "partial 16S ribosomal RNA". It matches the Rfam family "Bacterial small subunit ribosomal RNA", at positions 524 to 776 of the family's 1533-position model. The record is from RNAcentral.